UACAGAGGUGGCAAGCGUUGUUCGGAAUUACUGGGCGUAAAGGGCGCGUAGGCGGCCUUGUCAGUCAGACGUGAAAUCCCCAGGCUUAACCUGGGAACUGCGUCUGAUACUACAAGGCUGGAGUUCGGGAGAGGAAUGUGGAAUUCCCGGUGUAGCAGUGAAAUGCGUAGAGAUCGGGAGGAACAUCUGUGGCGAAGGCGACUGCCUGGACCAGCACUGACACUGAGGCACGAAAGCGUGGGGAGCAAACAGG
RNAcentral lists this ribosomal RNA (253 nucleotides) under uncultured bacterium. RNAcentral describes it as "partial 16S ribosomal RNA". It matches the Rfam family "Bacterial small subunit ribosomal RNA", at positions 524 to 776 of the family's 1533-position model. The record is from RNAcentral.